Molecule: non-coding RNA, 184 nt
Organism: Paenibacillus darwinianus
Lineage: Bacteria; Bacillati; Bacillota; Bacilli; Caryophanales; Paenibacillaceae
Source: Rfam
UCCAUCGUGAGAUGGAAUCUGAAGGAAGCUGGAGGCAAAUUUCCGGCCCGAGGAACACGAACAUCAAUUCGAAUUACGGUUGAAACAAGAUUUACCAUGAGAAGUCAGCAGAGGCCAUAAUACCUCCUGUUGUCAACGACAAGCCGGCUGCGGAUGCGGUCCCUUUCGGCAAAUGGAUGUUCGC